GACGAACGCUGGCGGCGUGCUUAACACAUGCAAGUCGAACGGAGUUUAAAUCAGUAGUUUACUACAGAUUUAAACUUAGUGGCGGACGGGUGAGUAACACGUGGGUAACCUGCCCAUAAGAGGGGGAUAACAUCCGGAAACGGGUGCUAAUACCGCAUAGGUUUCUUGGUCGCAUGAUCGAGAAAGGAAGACGGCCUUUGUGCUGUCGCUUUAUGGGAUGGGACCCCGNGGCGUAUUAGUUAGUUGGUGAGGUAAUGGCUCACCAAGACGAUGAUACGUAGCCGACCUGAGAGGGUGAUCGG
Molecule: ribosomal RNA, 302 nt
Filed under: uncultured bacterium
Lineage: Bacteria
Description: bacterial SSU rRNA
Rfam family: Bacterial small subunit ribosomal RNA
Source: RNAcentral